Molecule: ribosomal RNA, 718 nt
Filed under: bacterium
Lineage: Bacteria
Description: bacterial SSU rRNA
Rfam family: Bacterial small subunit ribosomal RNA
Source: RNAcentral
GGAGCUUGCUCCUCCGGAUUAGUGGCGAACGGGUGAGUAAUACGUGAGCAAUGUGCCCUUGACUCUGGGAUAAGCGCUGGAAACGGCGUCUAAUACCGGAUACGACCCUCGGAGGCAUCUCCUGUGGGUGGAAAGAACUUCGGUCAAGGAUCAGCUCACGGCCUAUCAGCUAGUUGGUGAGGUAACGGCUCACCAAGGCGACGACGGGUAGCCGGCCUGAGAGGGUGACCGGCCACACUGGGACUGAGACACGGCCCAGACUCCUACGGGAGGCAGCAGUGGGGAAUAUUGCACAAUGGGCGCAAGCCUGAUGCAGCAACGCCGCGUGAGGGACGACGGCCUUCGGGUUGUAAACCUCUUUUAGCAGGGAAGAAGCGAAAGUGACGGUACCUGCAGAAAAAGCACCGGCUAACUACGUGCCAGCAGCCGCGGUAAUACGUAGGGUGCAAGCGUUGUCCGGAAUUAUUGGGCGUAAAGAGCUCGUAGGCGGUUUGUCACGUCUGCUGUGAAAACCCGAGGCUCAACCUCGGGCUUGCAGUGGGUACGGGCAGACUAGAGUGCGGUAGGGGAGAUUGGAAUUCCUGGUGUAGCGGUGGAAUGCGCAGAUAUCAGGAGGAACACCGAUGGCGAAGGCAGAUCUCUGGGCCGUAACUGACGCUGAGGAGCGAAAGCAUGGGGAGCAAACAGGCUUAGAUACCCUGGUAGUCCAUGCCGUAAA